GCCGGGCGGUGCUCGGGCAGCCGGGAGGGGAGCGCGGCGCGGCUGGGCUGCCGGCCGGGCUGAGCCGAGGAGGCGGCGCGGCCUCCUUGCCCUUCAGCCGCCGCUCGCAGCCCCGCUGAGGCCUCGAGGGGCAGCCGGGCCUCCCGUCCCGCCGCCCCGGGGGGGCUGGGGUUGAGGCGUCUCCUGUUCUUCCAGAACAUGGUGCUGCUGGGGAGGCUGGUGCGGCCGGGAAGCAGCCCCAGCAAGCUGCUGCCGGCGGGCGGCUGCAGGCCCUUCUGGGGAUGGCUGAACGCCGUCUUCAACCGGGUGGACUACGAGCGCAUCCAAGCCGUGGGCCCCGACAGGGCAGCCUCGGAGUGGCUGCUGCGCUGCGGGGCCCUGGUGCGCUACCAGGGCUACCAGAAAUGGCAGCAAGACUACAAUGGUCUCCCCACGGGGCCCCUGGGGAAGUACAAGAUAGAGGCAAUUAAUGCCACCGACUCAUGCAUCAUGUACAGAGGAUUCGACUACCUGGAUGGUCUUGAACAUGUCACGGAAAUCAAGCUGCAGAAGUGUAUUUACAUACAGGAUGAGUGUCUGCAGAGGCUCAGUGAGACCAAGAACCUCCAGAAGAGUCUCCUCCAGCUGCAGAUCAUUUCCUGUGGGAAUGUCACAGAUAAAGGCAUCAUUGCGCUUCACAAGCUGACGAACCUUGAAUAUCUGUAUCUGAGUGACCUUCCUGGAAUAAAAGAGAAAGAAACUACUGUUCACAUCCUUCAGCAGGCACUGCCAAACCUAGAGCUGGAGCUGGAUUUAGAAUAAACACAGUUGCACAUAACUGAGGUGUAUUUGGUUUCACAGCAUUUAUCAAGCUGCAUAAAUGAAGUUGCAGAUGCUGCUGUAUUUGCAGAUCUGUCCAGCUACAGACAUAAAACCUGAGCUGAGGAGCUGACCCUGGCUGUGUGCGGAGGAAGCAGGCUCUCUUAGACAUGCCCUUGCAAACAGUUUUGCUGUUAUGCUGACACAGACUAAAUUAGUUCUCUGCAGUUGCAGCCCUACCACUCCUGCUGAAGAAGAGAAUGGCUCAUCCUCAGGAAGAAUGUAACAUUUUUAGUCGAAUUCCUGGCUUGGGUGGUAGGGGAGAGAAAGGCUGUAGGCAGUGACACCAAGAGAGCAGAUUUCAGUGUGAUGUCUCAGAGGUGGCUUCCUCUGCAUAACCAAGAGUCUCUUUCCUUACCCCUGGCAGUCAGCUCACUCCUGAAGGAAGGAAUGCCAGGCAGCAGAAGGGAUCCCAUUCUGCACUAGUGCAACGUGGAGCUGGUUCCCCGUGGUAUGUCCGAGCGCAGCGCGGGCAGGAACGGUGCCCAGGAGUGGAGUUCCCUCCAGGCUGCCCUGCCCCGGCCAUGUCCAGGAGCUGCCUGCCAGGCUGGGCACUGCUCCCAGCCCUGCUGCUCCCAGCCCUGCUGCUGCCCUGCACACCAGCAGGCUACAUGGCUGAAUAUCCACACAGGAAACACUGGGACGCCAAAGCUUUCUGAGUGUAGCCAAAACUACCUAUGGAUACAGUGCUCAAGGUUAAAAUGCAUUCAAAUAUAAUGUGAAAUAAAAGGGAAGCA
Molecule: RNA transcript, 1595 nt
Organism: Apus apus (common swift)
Lineage: Eukaryota; Metazoa; Chordata; Aves; Apodiformes; Apodidae
Gene: DMAC2L
Gene name: distal membrane arm assembly component 2 like
Exons: 5
Source: RefSeq, a predicted model, not a curated record